UUCGGAGAGUUUGAUCUUGGCUCAGGACGAACGCUGACGGUGUGCUUUAGACAUGCAAGUCGAACGAGAAAGCCCUUCGGGGUUAGUAGAGUGGCGAACGGGUGAGUAACACGUGGGCAACCAGCCCCUCACUGGGGGACAACCGGGGGAAACCCCGGCUAAUACCCCGUACGCUUGCCGGACCGCAUGGUCCGGUAAGGAAAGGUAGCUUCGGCCAUCCGGUGAGGGACGGGCCCGCGGUACAUUAGCUAGUUGGUGGGGUAACGGCCUACCAAGGCUACGAUGUAUAGCUGGUCUGAGAGGAUGAUCAGCCACACUGGGACUGAGACACGGCCCAGACUCCUACGGGAGGCAGCAGUCGGGAAUCUUGCGCAAUGGGCGAAAGCCUGACGCAGCAACACCGUGUGAGUGAUGAAGGCCUUAGGGUUGUAAAGCUCUGUUUGCGAGGACGAAGGGCGAAGGGUUAAUAGCCCCUAGCCUGACGGUACUUGCACAGAAAGCCCCGGCUAACUACGUGCCAGCAGCCGCGGUAAUACGUAGGGGGCGAGCGUUGUCCGGAAUUAUUGGGCGUAAAGAGCGUGUAGGCGGCCUGGUAAGUCUGCCGUGAAACCUUGGGGCUCAACCCCAAGCGUGCGGUGGAUACUGCUAGGCUAGAGGAUGGUAGAGGAGAAUGGAAUUCCCGGUGUAGCGGUGAAAUGCGCAGAUAUCGGGAGGAACACCAGUAGCGAAGGCGGUUCUCUGGGCCAUUCCUGACGCUGAGACGCGAAAGCAUGGGGAGCAAACAGGAUUAGAUACCCUGGUAGUCCAUGCCGUAAACGAUGAACACUAGGUGUGGGGGGAGUCGAAUCCCUCUGUGCCGAAGCCAACGCGUUAAGUGUUCCGCCUGGGGAGUACGGCCGCAAGGCUAAAACUCAAAAGAAUUGACGGGGGCCCGCACAAGCAGCGGAGCAUGUUCUUUAAUUCGAUGCAACGCGAAGAACCUUACCUGGG
This 990-nucleotide ribosomal RNA is filed under the name Rubrobacter sp. RNAcentral's name for it is "bacterial SSU rRNA". It matches the Rfam family "Bacterial small subunit ribosomal RNA", at positions 1 to 979 of the family's 1533-position model. Lineage: Bacteria; Bacillati; Actinomycetota; Rubrobacteria; Rubrobacterales; Rubrobacteraceae. The record is from RNAcentral.